AGAGUUUGAUUAUGGCUCAGGAUGAACGCUAGCGACAGGCUUAACACAUGCAAGUCGAGGGGCAGCAUAGAGGUAGCAAUACUUGGUGGCGACCGGCGCACGGGUGAGUAACGCGUAUGCAACCUACCUAUCAGGAGGGGAAUAACCCGGCGAAAGUCGGACUAAUACCGCAUAAAACAGGGGCACCGCAUGGUGAUAUUUGUUAAAGAAAUUCGCUGAUAGAUGGGCAUGCGUUCCAUUAGGUAGUUGGUGAGGUAACGGCUCACCAAGCCGACGAUGGAUAGGGAACUGAGAGGUUGGUCCCCCACACUGGUACUGAGACGCGGACCAGACUCCUACGGGAGGCAGCAGUGAGGAAUAUUGGUCAAUGGGCGGGAGCCUGAACCAGCCAAGUCGCGUGAAGGAAGAAGGAUCUAUGGUUCGUAAACUUCUUUUGCAGGGGAAUAAAGUGCAGGACGUGUCCUGUUUUGUAUGUACCCUGAGAAUAAGGAUCGGCUAACUCCGUGCCAGCCGCCGC
This 517-nucleotide ribosomal RNA is filed under the name uncultured bacterium. RNAcentral's name for it is "bacterial SSU rRNA". It matches the Rfam family "Bacterial small subunit ribosomal RNA", at positions 8 to 518 of the family's 1533-position model. The record is from RNAcentral.